Molecule: ribosomal RNA, 216 nt
Filed under: uncultured fungus
Lineage: Eukaryota; Fungi
Description: partial small subunit ribosomal RNA
Rfam family: Eukaryotic small subunit ribosomal RNA (bases 38-216)
Source: RNAcentral
GGAUUAGUAGGUCAGUUAUACCACUGGUAUGUACUGGUUCUACUGAUCCCUCCUUCUUGUAGAACUGUAAUGCUAUUAAUUUGGUGUUGCGGGGAAACAGGACUGUUACUUUGAAAAAAUUAGAGUGUUUAAAGCAGGCUAACGCUUGAAUACAUUAGUAUGGAAUAAUGAAAUAGGACGUUUGAUCCUAUUUUGUUGGUUUCUAGGAUUGACGUA